UCAGAACGAACGCUGAUGGCGUGCCUCAUACAUGCAAGUCGAGCGCGGUAGCAAUACCGAGCGGCGGACGGGUGAGUAACACGUAAACAAUCUGCCCUCAAGUGGGGAAUAACUAUCCCAACGGAUAGCUAAUACCGCAUAAGGAUGGAGGUGGCAUCACCUCUUCUCGAAAGGCUUCGGCCGCUUAAGGAUGAGUUUGCGUCCCAUUAGUUUGUUGGCGGGGUAACGGCCCACCAAGACUACGAUGGGUAUCCGGCCUGAGAGGGUGUACGGACACAUUGGGACUGAGAUACGGCCCAGACUCCUACGGGAGGCAGCAGUAGGGAAUUUUGCGCAAUGGGGGAAACCCUGACGCAGCAACGCCAUGUGUGGGAUGAAGCAUUUCGGUGUGUAAACCACUGUCAGCAGGGAAUAAAAGGUCCUCACGGACAUUUGAAUGUACCUGCAAAGGAAGCGCCGGCUAACUUCGUGCCAGCAGCCGCGGUAAUACGAGGGGCGCAAGUGUUGUUCGGAAUCACUGGGCGUAAAGGGAGCGUAGGCGGGCUUUUAAGUUAGGUGUUUAAUCCCGGGGCCCAACCCCGGACCGGCACCUAAAACUGGGAGUCUUGAAUAGUGGAGAGGUCAGUGGAAUUGGGGGUGUAGCGGUGGAAUGCGUAGAGAUCCCCAAGAACACCAGUUGCGAAGGCGGCUGACUGGACACAUAUUGACGCUGAGGCUCGAAAGCAUGGGGAGCAAACAGGAUUAGAUACCCUGGUAGUCCAUGCCGUAAACGAUGAAUACUAGGUAUUGGGCCCGUCAACGGUCCAGUGCCGCAGCUAACGCGUUAAGUAUUCCGCCUGGGGAGUACGGUCGCAAGAC
RNAcentral lists this ribosomal RNA (858 nucleotides) under uncultured bacterium. RNAcentral describes it as "bacterial SSU rRNA". It matches the Rfam family "Bacterial small subunit ribosomal RNA", at positions 24 to 894 of the family's 1533-position model. The record is from RNAcentral.